AGCUCCGGAUUCACUGCUGACCGCCGUCCGCCUCGCGUGGGGCAGAUGCUCUGGACGCCCAACCCUGACCUGUAGCUUCUCAAACCAGCCGCUGGGACCUCGGAAGCAGCUGCGACCUUGGGACCAGGCAGGUGUCCUGAUUCUUGGUGGCUGCCACUGAGUCUGUGUCCCUCUCAUCAGAGAGAGCCCCUAUCUCAUGAACGCUCUCUCCGUUAUCACUGGGGUCCUCCACCCACUUUGUCUCCAUAAGAAAUUAACCAUUCUACCCUGUUUCUCAGGUUACCCUCUCCCAUUCACCAACCCCCAAACUUUGAAACCCCUGUCAACUUCAUGUUUGUUGCAUACAGCUUGUAUCUAGCAGCCUAAGUACCUCCGUGGCCAUCCUACUCCAGUUCAGCUCCUGGGAGAACCCCGUUUCUGAGAAGCGGUGUCUCCCUUUCUAUAUACAUGAGACAGCAGUCACUCACUGUCUUCUGGGACGCUAGCCCAGGCUUCCUUGAGAAAGGGAAUUGACUUCUAACCGAUUUCCCCUUAUAUUGUCACCUGCCUACUUGGACGCAUCUAUUCCACUGUGGAAUAGUGACACACAGUGACACCGCACCUGCCUCCCUACCGUGUGUGAGUGUGUGUGCGCGUGUCAUGUAUGUGUGGUGUGGAGUAGGUGUGUGUGCAUGCAUGAAGUGUUUGUAUUUGUGUGUGCUGGUGAGCUGGCCCAUACGAGCACAUAUGGAGGCCAGAGGUCGAGGCCAUCCUCUAGUGCUCCUACCUUAAAUUUAAUAGACAGGGUCCCAUUAAACUUGAAGCUGACAUGCCUGCUAGACUGGAAGGCCAGCAAAUUCUCUCACCUGUCCCUCUGCCUGUCCCCUUUCCCCCAUAGCACUGAAGUUACAAACGCUGAGGUUGUACCCAGGUUCUAUUUGAAUGCAGGGACUCAAACAGAACCCCAUGCUUGUGUUUCACUGAGCCAUUUUCCUCAUCCCCUCCUCAUAUGUUUUUUAUUUUGUUUUAUUUUUGCAGUGAUGGGGACUUGCAAUCCCAUAGUCAAGUUUCACAAUCUGGCUUAUUUUUAGGUUAAAAAUUGGUCAUUAUUGCUCCUUAAUUAGAAGCCUCUUUCUCACUGAGGACAGGACUUGGCCAGGCAAAAAGUACUUUGCUUUUUUUUUUUAUUUUAGCAAUGAUAAUGAAAUAUUGAAACUUAAAUCCAAGGAAACGUACAAUUUAUAGGCCAACCAGUCUUCAUAGUUACUACAAUGGCCAAUAAGUAACCAUAUGUGGCAUUGUAAAUUAAAUUUUAGUAGUUCAGUUUCCUCUUGUGUCUUAGCCAAACUUCAAGUGCUGGCUGCAUUAUUGGCUGUGAUAAGACAUUUUCAUCAUUGUAGAAAGGGUUGGCUUGGCUUGGCUUGGGGAUUUUGUUUGUUUUGUCUUUAGAAACAGGUCUUAUGCCAUUCAAGCUAACCUGGAACUCAUAGCCAAGAGUGACGGUGAGCUACUGAUCCUCCUGCCGACACCUCCCAAAUGAUGGGAUUAUUGGUAUUUACCACCUUGCCAGGCAGUGCAGGAAGUACUGUGGGAUAAUUAAGAGACUAUAGGGUCAAGACUAAGUCUCCCCUAAUAUAGAUUUGUGUACAGAAAGGAGGUCUAGCAUAUGGACUAGAAUCAGACCCUCCCUUGUCUCCUGUUGUCUUGACCUAAUCUUUCACGGUAAGGCACACUUGAGGCAGGAGCCCUUCGGAGACUAAAUAGAAUUUGGUUUUGUUUUCACAGAGUGUGAUUUCAGGCUUCCACAAUGAGAACAGUUGUGAUAUUUUAAGAAAGUUCUCUAUUUAAGAAGCAAUCAGAGUGCUAUACCUCCAUUGAACAGACAUGGAAUCAGAUGCUAACACCGACAGGAUUGCUAAAACCAAAAAGCUUUGGGAAACUCUAAAUCAAAAGGAAACAAUAGAUUAUUCAGUAUUAGUUAUGGAAAGUUUAUCAACUACUUGGAUUUUUUUUCCCUUCGAGACAGGGUUUCUCUGUGUAGCUCUGGCUAUCCUAGAACUCAUUCCAUAGACCAGGCUGGCCUCGAAUUCACAGAAAUUCACCUGCCUCUGCUUCCUAAGUGCUGGGAUUAAAGUUGUGUGCCAUUACACUGGAUUACCUACUUGGAUCUUAAAUUAGAUUCACCUCCAUGACAUAAAAAAAUUUAGCAUUCAGAAGGUGGAGGCAGGAGGAUCAGAAUAUUUAUUAUGUAGUUCUUUCUCCAUUAGACUCUAAAGGUGGAGACUAUAUUCUGUGUCUAGGUUGGUCUUUUUAUAUAAGAUGCUCAUUGCUUACUAGAAUAACAAAGUUACCUCCUUUUAAAAUAAUUUCAUAUGCUCUUGUACACAGAGUCUGAGUGAAGUAUAACUGGACAAUUGGGAUAUUGUCUUAGUUAGGUUUCUUUGCUGUAAUAAAGCACCAUGACCCAAAACAACUUGGGAAGGAAACAGUUUAUUUCAGCUUCUAUGUCAUGGUGACAGUCCUUUGUGAAGAGACUUGUGUGGUGUGUGAGUUCAAGGUAUAAGAAAUAUGCCUCAUAUUCAAGCCAUAAGGAAUAUGAAUAUAUAUGUACACACACACACACACACACACACACACACACACACACACAUACAUAUAUAUUCAACUCACUGACAUCUGCCUGCCUCUGCCUUCCAAGUGCUGGAGCUAAAGAUGUGUGCCACCAUGCCUGGCUCAUUGUUAUAUUUUUAAAAUUAUUUGUAUGUGCCACUGCCUACAGAAACCAGAAAUGUUGGACACUAUCCCUGGUGCUGGAGUUAUGGGCAGUUAAGAGCCACUUAACAUGGGUGCUAGG
Molecule: long non-coding RNA, 2833 nt
Filed under: Mus musculus (house mouse)
Lineage: Eukaryota; Metazoa; Chordata; Mammalia; Rodentia; Muridae
Description: long non-coding RNA chr14:70289566-70292399
Source: RNAcentral